RNAcentral lists this ribosomal RNA (253 nucleotides) under uncultured bacterium. RNAcentral describes it as "partial 16S ribosomal RNA". It matches the Rfam family "Bacterial small subunit ribosomal RNA", at positions 524 to 776 of the family's 1533-position model. The record is from RNAcentral.
UACGGAGGGAGCUAGCGUUAUUCGGAAUUACUGGGCGUAAAGCGCACGUAGGCGGCUUUGUAAGUUAGAGGUGAAAGCCUGGUGCUCAACACCAGAACUGCCUUUGAUACUGCAUCGCUUGAAUCCAGGAGAGGUGAGUGGAAUUCCGAGUGUAGAGGUGAAAUUCGUAGAGAUCGGGAGGAACACCAGUGGCGAAGGCGGCUACCUGGACCAGCACUGACACUGAGGCACGAAAGCGUGGGGAGCAAACAGG